Molecule: ribosomal RNA, 492 nt
Filed under: uncultured bacterium
Lineage: Bacteria
Description: partial 16S ribosomal RNA
Rfam family: Bacterial small subunit ribosomal RNA
Source: RNAcentral
AGUGAACGCUGGCGGUAGGCCUAACACAUGCAAGUCGAACGGCAGCACAGUAAGAGCUUGCUCUUACGGGUGGCGAGUGGCGGACGGGUGAGGAAUACAUCGGAAUCUACUUUUUCGUGGGGGAUAACGUAGGGAAACUUACGCUAAUACCGCAUACGACCUACGGGUGAAAGCAGGGGAUCUUCGGACCUUGCGCGAUUGAAUGAGCCGAUGUCGGAUUCGCUAGUUGGCGGGGUAAAGGCCCACCAAGGCGACGAUCCGUAGCUGGUCUGAGAGGAUGAUCAGCCACACUGGAACUGAGACACGGUCCAGACUCCUACGGGAGGCAGCAGUGGGGAAUAUUGGACAAUGGGCGCAAGCCUGAUCCAGCCAUACCGCGUGGGUGAAGAAGGCCUUCGGGUUUUAAAGCCCUUUUGUUGGGAAAGAAAAGCAGCAGGUUAAUACCCCGCUGUUCUGACGGUACCCAAAGAAUAAGCACCGGCUAACUUCGUG